CUGUAUGUUAAACGAGAAGACUUUAGAUAUGAUCCAGAGUACCACGGGACACGUGAAACCCUGUGGGAAGCAGGAGGGACCACCCUCCAAGGCUAAAUACUACCUAGUGACCGAUAGCGUAUAGUACCGUGAGGGAAAGGUGAAAAGAACCCCGGGAGGGGAGUGAAAUAGAACCUGAAACCCUGCACUUACAAGCUGUGGAAGCACAUUUCUUGUGUGACCGCGUACUUUUUGUAGAACGGGCCAACGAGUUACGUUAAGUAGCAAGGUUAAGCACUUAAGGUGCGGAGCCGUAGCGAAAGCGAGUUUUAACUGAGCGUUCAGUUACUUGACGUAGACCCGAAACCGGGCGACCUACCCAUGAGCAGGAUGAAGCGAAAGUAAAAUUUCGUGGAGGUCCGAACCCACGAGCGUUGAAAAGCUCGGGGAUGACUUGUGGGUAGCGGUGAAAUUCCAAUCGAGCCCGGAGAUAGCUGGUUCUCCCCGAAAUAGCUUUAGGGCUAGCCUCAAGGUGAGAGAUACGGAGGUAGAGCACUGAAUGUCCUAGGGGGUAUUGCACCUACCGAAGACUAUCAAACUCCGAAUGCCGUCAUCUUAUACUUGGGAGUCAGACUGUGGGUGAUAAGAUUCAUAGUCGAAAGGGCAACAGCCCAGAUCGUCAGCUAAGGUCCCUAAAUGUAAGUUAAGUGGUAAAGGAUGUGGGAUUGCACAGACAACCAGGAUGUUGGCUUAGAAGCAGCCACUCAUUCAAAGAGUGCGUAAUAGCUCACUGGUCGAGUGAUCCUGCGCCGAAGAUUUCCGGGGCUAAAACUU
RNAcentral lists this ribosomal RNA (813 nucleotides) under Clostridioides difficile. RNAcentral describes it as "partial 23S ribosomal RNA". It matches the Rfam family "Bacterial large subunit ribosomal RNA", at positions 373 to 1189 of the family's 2925-position model. The record is from RNAcentral. Lineage: Bacteria; Bacillati; Bacillota; Clostridia; Peptostreptococcales; Peptostreptococcaceae.